Molecule: ribosomal RNA, 467 nt
Filed under: uncultured bacterium
Lineage: Bacteria
Description: partial 16S ribosomal RNA
Rfam family: Bacterial small subunit ribosomal RNA
Source: RNAcentral
GACGAACGCUGGCGGCGUGCUUAACACAUGCAAGUCGAACGGAAAGGCCUCUUUCGGGGGGUACUCGAGUGGCGAACGGGUGAGUAACACGUGAGUAACCUGCCCUUGACUUUGGGAUAACUUCAGGAAACUGGGGCUAAUACCGGAUAGGAGCUCCUGCUGCAUGGUGGGGGUUGGAAAGUUUCGGCGGUUGGGGAUGGACUCGCGGCUUAUCAGCUUGUUGGUGGGGUAGUGGCUUACCAAGGCUUUGACGGGUAGCCGGCCUGAGAGGGUGACCGGCCACAUUGGGACUGAGAUACGGCCCAGACUCCUACGGGAGGCAGCAGUGGGGAAUAUUGCACAAUGGGUGGAAGCCUGAUGCAGCAACGCCGUGUGCGGGAUGACGGCCUUCGGGUUGUAAACCGCUUUCGCACAUGACGAAGCUUUGUGUGACGGUAGUGGGUAAAGAAGCACCGGCUAACUACGUG